UCAGUAACGGCGAGUGAAGCGGCAACAGCUCAAAUUUGAAAGCUGGCCCCCCCGGGGGUCCGCGUUGUAAUUUGUAGAGGAUGAUUCGGCGAGGGCUCCCGCCUAAGUCCCCUGGAACGGGGCGUCAUAGAGGGUGAGAAUCCCGUAUGCGGUGGGCUGCCUUAGCCAUGUGAAUCUCCUUCGACGAGUCGAGUUGUUUGGGAAUGCAGCUCUAAAUGGGAGGUAAAUUUCUUCUAAAGCUAAAUACCGGCCAGAGACCGAUAGCGCACAAGUAGAGUGAUCGAAAGAUGAAAAGCACUUUGGAAAGAGAGUUAAAAAGUACGUGAAAUUGUUGAAAGGGAAGCGCUUGCAGCCAGACUUGUCCGCAGUUGCUCAGCCGGUCUCCUGACCGGCGCACUCUUCUGCGGCCAGGCCAGCAUCAGUUCGGGCGGUCGGAUAAAGGCCCCGGGAACGUAGCUCCUCUCGGGGAGUGUUAUAGCCCGGGGUGGAAUGCGGCCAGCCUGGACUGAGGAUCUCGCUUCGGCUAGGAUGCUGGCGUAAUGGCUGUAAGCGGCCCGUCUUGAAACACGGACCAAGGAGUCUAACAUCUAUGCGAGUGUUUGGGUGUCAAACCCAUGCGCGUAAUGAAAGUGAACGGAGGUGGGAACCCUCGCGGGUGCACCAUCGACCGAUCCUGAUGUCUUCGGAUGGAUUUGAGUAAGAGCAUAGCUGUUGGGACCCGAAAGAUGGUGAACUAUGCCUGAAUAGGGUGAAGCCAGAGGAAACUCUGGUGGAGGCUCGCAGCGGUUCUGACGUGCAAAUCGAUCGUCAAAUUUGGGUAUAGGGGCGAAAGACUAAUCGAACCAUCGACUACUAGGUGGUUAAGAGGUGGCUGAAAGUGCCCACCUAGUCCCCCCGUCCGAGGACGGGGGGGCGACAUCGCCAAAUUGCGGGGACUCCCUUAGAGCCUCUACUACCGCGGCCGGCCGAAAGGCGCGGUGCAGCACCGGGUUAAUUGCCUAGGGUACGGUAAAAAGGUAGAGGAUUGGGAAAUCCGCAGCCAAGCGCCUAAGUCCCGCGGGAUACGGCGAAGGUUCAGAGACUAGAUGGCGGUGGGUCUCGGCCCGAGGGCCGGGCCUAAGGUAUAGUCCACC
RNAcentral lists this small RNA (1133 nucleotides) under Neoscytalidium hyalinum. RNAcentral describes it as "eukaryotic LSU rRNA". It matches the Rfam family "Eukaryotic large subunit ribosomal RNA", at positions 80 to 1052 of the family's 3401-position model. The record is from RNAcentral. Lineage: Eukaryota; Fungi; Ascomycota; Dothideomycetes; Botryosphaeriales; Botryosphaeriaceae.